GUGGUCCUACGGGGGGCAGCAGUGGGGAAUAUUGCGCAAUGGGCGAAAGCCUGACGCAGCGACGCCGCGUGAGUGAAGAAGUAUUUCGGUAUGUAAAGCUCUAUCAGCAGGGAAGAAAAUGACAGUACCUGACUAAGAAGCCCCGGCUAACUACGUGCCAGCAGCCGCGGUAAUACGUAGGGGGCGAGCGUUAUCCGGAUUUACUGGGUGUAAAGGGAGCGUAGACGGCGUCGCAAGUCUGAAGUGAAAGCCCGGGGCUCAACCGCGGAACCGCUUUGGAAACUGCGAGGCUGGA
This 295-nucleotide ribosomal RNA is filed under the name uncultured bacterium. RNAcentral describes it as "partial 16S ribosomal RNA". It matches the Rfam family "Bacterial small subunit ribosomal RNA", at positions 333 to 645 of the family's 1533-position model. The record is from RNAcentral.